RNAcentral lists this transfer RNA (96 nucleotides) under Chelatococcus composti. RNAcentral describes it as "tRNA-Ala". The record is from RNAcentral. Lineage: Bacteria; Pseudomonadati; Pseudomonadota; Alphaproteobacteria; Hyphomicrobiales; Chelatococcaceae.
CGUUGAUGUUGGGCGCGGCCGGGAUCGCCGGCCGCGCACGCCGGCAUGCCGGCUUACUUGAGGAAUUCCUUGACGUUCGACGCGUCGACGAGCGUC